AUUGAACGCUGGCGGCAGGCCUAACACAUGCAAGUCGAGCGGAUGAAGGGAGCUUGCUCCUGGAUUCAUCGGCAGACGGGUGAGUAAUGCCUAUGAAUCUGCCUUGUCUUGGGGGAUAACGUCCUGAUACGGGCUCUAAUACCCCAUCCGUCCUGUUGGCGCCAUUGGGUGAUCUUCGGACCUCACGCUAUCAUAUUAGCCUAGGUCGGUUUAGCUAGUUGGUGGGGUAACGGCCUACCAAGGCGACUAUCCGUAACUGGUCUGAGAGGAUGAUCAGUCAGACGGGAACUGAGAAACGGCACAGACACCGACGGGAGGCAGCAGUGGGGAAUAUUGGACGAGGGGGGAAAGGCUGAUCCAGGCAUGCCGGGUGAAGGAAGAAGGUCUAAGGAUGGUAGAGCAAUGUAAGUCGGGAGGAAGGGAAGUAAGUUAACACCGGACUGUUAUGACGUUACCAACAGAAUAAGCACCGGCUAACUUCGUG
This 484-nucleotide ribosomal RNA is filed under the name uncultured bacterium. Its description in RNAcentral is "partial 16S ribosomal RNA". It matches the Rfam family "Bacterial small subunit ribosomal RNA", at positions 30 to 507 of the family's 1533-position model. The record is from RNAcentral.